This 763-nucleotide ribosomal RNA is filed under the name uncultured Streptococcus sp. RNAcentral's name for it is "bacterial SSU rRNA". It matches the Rfam family "Bacterial small subunit ribosomal RNA", at positions 28 to 776 of the family's 1533-position model. The record is from RNAcentral. Lineage: Bacteria; Bacillati; Bacillota; Bacilli; Lactobacillales; Streptococcaceae.
GACGAACGCUGGCGGCGUGCUAAUACAUGCAAGUAGAACGCUGAAGGAGGAGCUUGCUUCUCUGGAUGAGUUGCGAACGGGUGAGUAACGCGUAGGUAACCUGCCUGGUAGCGGGGGAUAACUAUUGGAAACGAUAGCUAAUACCGCAUAAGAGUAGAUGUUGCAUGACAUUUGCUUAAAAGGUGCAAUUGCAUCACUACCAGAUGGACCUGCGUUGUAUUAGCUAGUUGGUGGGGUAACGGCUCACCAAGGCGACGAUACAUAGCCGACCUGAGAGGGUGAUCGGCCACACUGGGACUGAGACACGGCCCAGACUCCUACGGGAGGCAGCAGCAGGGAAUCUUCGGCAAUGGACGGAAGUCUGACCGAGCAACGCCGCGUGAGUGAAGAAGGUUUUCGGAUCGUAAAGCUCUGUUGUAAGAGAAGAACGAGUGUGAGAGUGGAAAGUUCACACUGUGACGGUAUCUUACCAGAAAGGGACGGCUAACUACGUGCCAGCAGCCGCGGUAAUACGUAGGUGGCAAGCGUUAUCCGGAUUUAUUGGGCGUAAAGAGAGUGCAGGCGGUUUUCUAAGUCUGAUGUGAAAGCCUUCGGCUUAACCGGAGAAGUGCAUCGGAAACUGGAUAACUUGAGUGCAGAAGAGGGUAGUGGAACUCCAUGUGUAGCGGUGGAAUGCGUAGAUAUAUGGAAGAACACCAGUGGCGAAGGCGGCUACCUGGUCUGCAACUGACGCUGAGACUCGAAAGCAUGGGUAGCGAACAGG